This 1822-nucleotide long non-coding RNA is filed under the name Bos indicus x Bos taurus (hybrid cattle). RNAcentral's name for it is "lncRNA (ENSBIXG00005025006.1)". Lineage: Eukaryota; Metazoa; Chordata; Mammalia; Artiodactyla; Bovidae. The record is from RNAcentral.
GUAAGCCACCUUGCUUCAGUCGUUAAAUUGUUUAAAAUUUAACUCGCAUAGCUAUAGCUCCUUUUCGAGUGCCUGCACUCUGUUCUAUGCUUUUGGCCUUGAUCUAACAUAUCUACCAAAGGUUGCAGAAGGUUUAAAGAAAAAAAAAAAAAAGUUUGCCCAAGGGCUAUGAUAAAGGAUAUUUGUCUUUGAGUGAAAUGCUCGUGUCUCUCACCCCUAAGUUUGGUGAAUCUCAUGAAUACACAUGGAAGUUUUUUGUGCCCUCAUUGCUUCUGCUUUUUCAAUAAUUCAGUUCACCUCCGAAAAUCCUGUUCCUUUCAGAUGUUCUGUAAUUAGAUGAGCAAAAGUUGAAAAGCCUGCGGAAAUGUACUUCUUAAGAUCGGAAUGACCAUGACUCACAGCCAAAGUUCACCUUCACGUCUGCUUUGGUGGCCUAGGCGGUGUGAACGGAUGCUCUUUGAAUGCUCCAUCCUGCGGAGACAGCCAAACCCCGGCCAGGAUUUACUGGGUACAAGCAGCGGGAAAGGCAUGGUGUGAGGUCCGUGAAGGAACCAGGAAUAGACGGCAUUGUUCCUGAUUCAGAAGGAGCUUGCAAAUAGUGCGGUGGAACAAGACACAUACUUUGAGAUGGAUGACCACUGAAGGCUUUUGUGGUUAUAUUUAUUCUUAACGAUGUUUAUUUACUUUUGCUGCACUGGGUCUCUGCUGCUGUCCUUGGACUUUCUCUAGUUGCGGGGAGCAGGGGCUGCUCUUGCCUGCCGUGGCCGGGCUUCUCAUUGCGGUGGCUUCUCUCGUGGAGCACAGCCUCUAGGCACCUGGGCUCAGGAGUUGUGGCGCACGGGCUUAGUUGCUCCGUGGCAUAUGGGAUCUUCCCGGACCUGGGAUCGAACCUGUGUCCCCUGCAGUGACAGGUGGAUCUUAUCCACUGUGCCAACAGGGAAGUCCUGCGAUUAUUGUUAAGGGAGUAGUAUAGAAAAAACAUUUAGGAAGCUAUGAUGGAUGGAGGAGGGCCCCUCUAAAGCGAUGACAUUUUAAGCAAGGCUUGAAAAGAAACAAACCGAAAGAUCCGGGCAGUGACAUGGUUGGAAGGGAAAGACCUGGGAAUUCAUUUCUCGUCUUUUUUAAAAAAUGAGUUUUUACUGGAGUGUAGUUGCUUUGCAGUGUUGUCUUAGUUUCUGCCGUACAGCAAAGUGAACAGCGAUGUGUAUAGCUGAUACAGAGCUCACACGAUGCAUCUCCUCUUUUUUGGAUUUCCCUCCCAUUCAGGUCACCACGGAGCACUGAGUGGGUCUCCUGUGCUCUGCGUAGAGCCUCGCUAGUUAUCUGCUUCACACAUAGUGUCACUGGUGUGUGCAUCUUCCCAAACUCUGUGGUCUCAGCUUGUGUUACUGAGUUGGAAAGCAUCUGAUAAAUUAUCUAUUUAAAAAAAGAAAAUAAUAUUUAGAACACUUCAGAGGUGACAAAGAAUCCCGAAGGUGGGGAAAGCUCCCUGGAAGAGGUUAGAACUUGAGCCAGGCUCUGAAGGGAUGAUGAGAACGUCCAGAAUUCCAAGACAGAAGAAUUAGCCUCCAGUCAAAACUCUACUGCUUACUGGUGGUACCAUCUCUCUAGACUCCACACAUGUGUGUCAAUGUAGGAUAUUUGUUUUUCUCCCUCUGACUUACUUUACUCUGCGUAACAGACACGAGGCCCAUCCACAUCACUGCAGCUGACCCAGUUUCAUUCCUUUUUAUGGCUGAGUAAUGAACGUAUACACACACCACAUCUUUAUCCAUUCAACUGUUGAUGCUGCAAUAAAGACAAUUGAGACUUGCUCCUAUCA